AUUGAACGCUGGCGGCAGGCCUAACACAUGCGAGUCGAGCGGAUGAAGGGAGCUUGCUCCUGGAUUCAGCGGCGGACGGGUGAGUAAUGCCUAGGAAUCUGCCUGGUAGUGGGGGAUAACGUCCGGAAACGGGCGCUAAUACCGCAUACGUCCUGAGGGAGAAAGUGGGGGAUCUUCGGACCUCACGCUAUCAGAUGAGCCUAGGUCGGAUUAGCUAGUUGGUGGGGUAAAGGCCUACCAAGGCGACGAUCCGUAACUGGUCUGCGGGGAUGAUCAGUCACACUGAACCGGGAACAGGGCCAGAACCCCUAGGGGGGGCAGCGGGGGGAAAUUUGGGAAAAGGGGCAAAAGCCGAAUCCGGCCAUGCCGGGGGUGGAAAAAGGGUCUUCGGUUUGAAAAGCACUUUAAGUUGGAAGGAAGGGCAUGAAGUUAAUACCUUGCUUUUUGAACGUUACCAACAAAAAAAGCACCGCCAAACUGCGU
RNAcentral lists this ribosomal RNA (483 nucleotides) under uncultured bacterium. Its description in RNAcentral is "partial 16S ribosomal RNA". It matches the Rfam family "Bacterial small subunit ribosomal RNA", at positions 29 to 506 of the family's 1533-position model. The record is from RNAcentral.